GGCGUGCCUAACACAUGCAAGUCAAGGGGAAAGUUCGACUUCGGUUGAGUGAGUAUACUGGCGGACGGGUGAGUAACGCGUAGGCAACCUGCCCUAGGGAGAGGGAUAACCCAGCGAAAGUUGGACUAAUACCUUAUAACGCAUUUUAUUCGCAUGGAUAGAUUGUUAAAGUUUGCAACUUGUUGCACACACCUUGGGAUGGGCCUGCGUUCCAUUAGUUAGUUGGUAAGGUAACGGCUUACCAAGGCGACGAUGGAUAGCUGGUUUGAGAGAGUGAUCAGCCACACUGGGACCGAGAUACGGCCCAGACUCCUACGGGAGGCAGCAGUGAGGAAUAUUGCGCAAUGGGCGAAAGCCUGACGCAGCAACGCCGCGUGGGGGAUGAAGUUCUAUGGAGCGUAAACCCCUGUAAGUGGGGACGAAGGAUAGAUAUUCGAAUAGGGUGUUUAUUUGACGGUACCCGCAGAGUAAGCUCCGGCUAACUCCGUGCCAGCAGCCGCGGUAAUACGGGGGGAGCAAGCGUUGUCCGGAAUUACUGGGCGUAAAGGGCGUGUAGGCGGUUUGGUAAGUCAGAUGUAAAAGGUCCCGGCUUAACCGGGGAUUGUCAUUUGAAACUGCCAGGCUUGAGUUCGAGAGAGGGUAGCGGAAUUCCCAGUGUAGCGGUGAAAUGCGUAGAUAUUGGGAAGAACACCAGUAGCGAAGGCGGCUACCUGGCUCGCAACUGACGCUAAGGCGCGAAAGCGUGGG
RNAcentral lists this ribosomal RNA (747 nucleotides) under uncultured bacterium. Its description in RNAcentral is "bacterial SSU rRNA". It matches the Rfam family "Bacterial small subunit ribosomal RNA", at positions 41 to 765 of the family's 1533-position model. The record is from RNAcentral.